This 460-nucleotide ribosomal RNA is filed under the name uncultured bacterium. RNAcentral describes it as "partial 16S ribosomal RNA". It matches the Rfam family "Bacterial small subunit ribosomal RNA", at positions 338 to 795 of the family's 1533-position model. The record is from RNAcentral.
CCUACGGGUGGCAGCAGUGAGGAAUAUUGGUCAAUGGACGAGAGUCUGAACCAGCCAAGUAGCGUGAAGGAUGACUGCCCUAUGGGUUGUAAACUUCUUUUAUAUGGGAAUAAAAUGUUCCACGUGUGGGAUUUUGUCUGUACCAUAUGAAUAAGGAUCGGCUAACUCCGUGCCAGCAGCCGCGGUAAUACGGAGGAUCCGAGCGUUAUCCGGAAUUAUUGGGGUUAAAGGGAGCGUAGGUGGAUUGUUAAGUCAGUUGUGAAAGUUUGCGGCUCAACCGUAAAAUUGCAGUUGAAACUGGCAGUCUUGAGUACAGUAGAGGUGGGCGGAAUUCGUGGUGUAGCGGUGAAAUGCUUAGAUAUCACGAAGAACUCCGAUUGCGGAGGCAGUUCACUGGACUGCAACUGACACUGAGGCUCGAAAGUGUGGGUAUCAAACAGGAUUAGAUACCCUUGUAGUC